Aegilops tauschii subsp. strangulata is the source of this 2865-nucleotide non-coding RNA. Lineage: Eukaryota; Viridiplantae; Streptophyta; Magnoliopsida; Poales; Poaceae. The record is from RefSeq and is a predicted model, not a curated record.
CUAAAGAUCUGUACUCUGGAUCCUACAUCUCAUACUUGAUUUUUUUUCGGCAUAAUUUUUGUAGGCCGGAUGAGUAUAAGAUGGCAUGAGAAAUUCAAGAGUUGAAUGAGAAGAGUGAAGAAGACUAGCAGCUCUAAGGAAUGCCUAUACGAACUCGCUAUGGCGAGGAUGACUCAAUGAAUGGACAUGUCGAUCAUGCUCAGAUCCCGGGUGGACUUCUCUCCAAUAGAGACUCCAGGUCAUUCUUGGACUGAAAGAAUUCCAGAUAGUGGCCAUGGUGGAUGGAUGAUAUGAGGUGAUCUGGGUGCUGCAUUCGAUGGCCAUGGUCUGUUUGCUGGAGGCCAACUCCCUGCUUUUGGCCUCUGAAGGUUGGGUAACUAUAACUGGACUGUAUCUGAAGACAUGGUUCAACACGUUUAGGCAUUUAUGAAUUCCAAAAUGUUUAUUGUUUGUUGAGCAUUGAAAUUUUUCUGUACAUAGUGCUUCAUGCCAAUAAGCGAUAAGGCAUCGUUUUUGCCAAUGUAUACAUAGAAAAGAAUGGAACUGUAGAUGUUUUUUGAAGGCAUCUAGCUACUUGGAUUGCGCAAAUCGACAAGUACUCCCACAGAUACAAUUAGAACUAGGUCUAUUCUUAAUUAAGCAGCGAGCUAGAUAACUUUUAAGAAUUUUCCCCACUUCAAAAUAAUAACCUUGAAGUUCAGAUCUUCUACUGAAACUCCUUUUCUAUCUAUGAACAUCAGGAGACAACCUCCAGUAAACCAUUCUAAUAGAAAUCUCAAUGUUCUUAGCCUGCAAGCUCUCAGUCAGCUAUAUUGUAUUCGCAACUCAGCGUAUUUUUUUUCUGAAGUUUGGUGCCUAACUCCCAGACAUCUUUUCCCAAGGGUAAGCAUGUAGAUGUUGACAACUUGACAUGAAUUUUAUGCUUGAUUAUUUUUGUUAUGUUAAUAGCUCUCUACUCUGUUCUUAACUGGGUAUCCUUGCUCCUUGGUCCCCUGUCAAUUGUACAGAAGGUAAUUUAUCAGAAUCUUACAGCCUCUUAGCUGCAUCUGAGCGUCUGAGGUUCCUUAAUUUCACCACUGAACAUGAAGCCAGUCAAGUCUGAAGUCUGAUACGAUUGUCCAGUAAUGCGUAGACGAUUGCCGUAUGAAUUCAGAAUUGAGAAAAUGAUGCACUAUCAAUUAAAUCAUUAUAACCAGUGUCAAUUUAAACCGAUUAAUGUGCUUACUUCCAUGAUGCUAAAAUAUAUACAAUCCCAAUGUUUUUUUAAAUUAAAUUAGCUAAUUGUUCUUAGUCUCUCUUUCAGAGACAACCCUUCUGAAUCACCUUUUAACAUUGCAACAUGAGAAGAGGAUUAAUGUUCGUUCAUCCUUUGUUGAAGACAUUGUGAUGGUGAAUACAGGUUUUUUAUGAUGCACUGUCCAAGGGGAGUCUUGUAAAGCUUCUGAAGUUGGUGAAGUUUGAUCACAUAUUUAUCGAGCCAGCAAGUAAAUCUCAUUAAUUAAUCUUAAGUUGUGUGAAGUUCUAAUGUCUAACAGACCCACUCACAGUAUAGGCCUUGCGAAGCUUGGUCUUGUUAUUAAAAUAUUUUGUUAUGAUGAAUGGGUCUGAAAGUAUGUGAAACUUGAUGCUGUGGUGCUGUGGUUGAUUGACUAGCAGGCCAUGAAACAUUUGAUGAAAGGAAGGUGGGUUGUCAAUGAAGCAGUAGAGCAAGUUGCUUAUGCAGACAAGAUUAUUUUGAACAAGCUAUUUAGUCGGUCUAUAGAACUAUAUACAAGGAUCUGGUGCCAAAAAAGGUGUUAUUUACGCACAUAUUUCUGUUGGGUUUUCUUAUGUACGAAAAUAACAUAAAACAUACCUCUAAACGCCGGUCGGCCGCUAGCACUACGACAGUCCGAAUGUGGUGAUCUUUUAGGAUAACUAAUUAACAGUGUUGUGAUUAGUUUUAUCAGGCAUGAAAGUGGUGGGUGCUAGCAAGGAGUUGAUGGGUUUAGCAGGACUUCCUUGCAAGAGCAGCAGAGCUGAGGCUGCAACUGGCCAAUAUGAACAGUAUUCAAGCAGGACGCGUUCAUGCAGUUGAGUUAUGUACAUUCAUAGAGGUGCUACUGACAAGCCUGGAUUUGAUUGGAGAAUCAUCCACUAGGAACAGUGUGCGGUCACAACAAUUGUGGACCAGGAAUGCAAGCCGGAUCCCCUCCGCAUGGGCUGUUGUUGCAAGGUCACGGUGCUGCACCUCAACUAAUUCAGUAGGAUCAUCGCUACUUCAUCUGUUCGUUCUCAUCUAACUAAUAUAUUUAAUAUCUAUUUGUAUUUUUGGCUAAUUCUUAUUUUAAUCUUUUGUGGCUUUGCGGUGAAGGCAAAAUGAAUUUAAAAGAGUUCAAUUUAGAGUUAGUGUAGUGCCUUCCCGGCAAGAAGAGAAAAUAUAUAAUUAGUGCAGUGUUUCACACCUACUGGACUCAGUCUAUUAUGAUAUACAUGUAUGUUGCAGAGAAAUGGUCACAUGGAUGAUUAGCAUCUUUUGGCAAAGGUGAAUAAAUACUACUGCACCUAUGACUAUGAGCAUAGAUCUCCCCUCUUAAUUUUUGAGGACCACUUCAGGAUGUGAUCAUGAUUGUUGUUUCACAAGUUUGACUGUUACUAAUCUGAAAGUCGAGCCUAAGUAAUGUUAAGUGGACUUCAUGGAAUAUCAAUAAGGAAAUUGCAUAAUUUGAUAUACUAUGUUAAUUAAUUAUUAUUUUUCUCCUGUUGCAACGCACGAGCAUGUUUGCAAAUAUAUAUAUUAUUUAUUUAUUUAUUUUAUUAAUAAUAAAGAGGCUAUUGCUUCUGCCCUGGUAUUUUAGGUAUUCAAACGCGCAGUCCUCCUAAAAA